Molecule: small RNA, 594 nt
Filed under: Pongo abelii (Sumatran orangutan)
Lineage: Eukaryota; Metazoa; Chordata; Mammalia; Primates; Hominidae
Description: retained intron
Source: RNAcentral
AUCUUCCAGUUUUAUACUGAUCACAUCUGACAUUCUCUGAUCAUCCUGAUUAUUUCACUAGUGGUGGUUGUGACUCAUCUUUUUAGGCAGUUAGCAACAUAGGAAUCUUUUUAAACUUCAAAAGCAAAGUAUUCUUGACUAGUUUUGUUUUGUCUAUAAUGUUAAAACCUUAGUGGUCUUGUUACGUUUAAUGUACCUACUUCUUUGUUCUUAGUCUACGCAGAUGGUAGUAUAUGUCUGGAUAUACUUCAGAACCGUUGGAGUCCAACCUAUGAUGUGUCUUCCAUUCUAACAUCCAUACAGUCUCUAUUGGAUGAACCCAAUCCCAAUAGUCCAGCAAACAGCCAGGCUGCUCAGCUGUACCAGGAGAACAAACGGGAAUAUGAAAAGCGUGUUUCUGCAAUAGUAGAACAAAGCUGGCGCGAUUGUUGACCCCGGGUACAGUUUAAAGAAACUGGCCAUAAGAAAAAUAUAUAUUGAUGUGUUUGUCACCACCCUACUCAUGUCAUUACAUUUACUUUAUUAAAAGCAAAAUAGCUGUUGUGCUGUUUCCAUCUUCCUUGCCAAGUUUUCCUACCCCUUCUCCCCUCUCCU